GAGUUUGAUCGUGGCUCAGAUUGAACGCUGGCGGCAGGCCUAACACAUGCAAGUCGAGCGGUAGAGAGAAGCUUGCUUCUCUUGAGAGCGGCGGACGGGUGAGUAAUGCCUAGGAAUCUGCCUGGUAGUGGGGGAUAACGCUCGGAAACGGACGCUAAUACCGCAUACGUCCUACGGGAGAAAGCAGGGGACCUUCGGGCCUUGCGCUAUCAGAUGAGCCUAGGUCGGAUUAGCUAGUUGGUGAGGUAAUGGCUCACCAAGGCGACGAUCCGUAACUGGUCUGAGAGGAUGAUCAGUCACACUGGAACUGAGACACGGUCCAGACUCCUACGGGAGGCAGCAGUGGGGAAUAUUGGACAAUGGGCGAAAGCCUGAUCCAGCCAUGCCGCGUGUGUGAAGAAGGUCUUCGGAUUGUAAAGCACUUUAAGUUGGAGGAAGGGCAGUAAAUUAAUACUUUGCUGUUUUGACGUUACCGACAGAAUAAGCACCGGCUAACUCUGUGCCAGCCG
RNAcentral lists this ribosomal RNA (509 nucleotides) under uncultured bacterium. RNAcentral's name for it is "bacterial SSU rRNA". It matches the Rfam family "Bacterial small subunit ribosomal RNA", at positions 9 to 514 of the family's 1533-position model. The record is from RNAcentral.